RNAcentral lists this non-coding RNA (70 nucleotides) under Escherichia albertii. RNAcentral's name for it is "Nucleoid-associated noncoding RNA 4 (CssrE)". It matches the Rfam family "Nucleoid-associated noncoding RNA 4 (CssrE)". From Rfam's summary of the family: In E. coli small RNA transcribed from repeated extragenic palindromic element (REP325) called nucleoid-associated ncRNA 4 (nRNA4) collaborates HU protein in condensing the DNA. The secondary structure but not the sequence of the RNA is important in nucleoid condensation. Also identified in Shigella as CssrE. The record is from RNAcentral. Lineage: Bacteria; Pseudomonadati; Pseudomonadota; Gammaproteobacteria; Enterobacterales; Enterobacteriaceae.
GGCCGGAUAAGGUAUUCACGCCGCAUCCGGCACAAAUGCCUGAUGCGACGCUUGCGCGUCUUAUCAGGCC